GCGGCGGUAAGGUGGGGGGAGGUAACAGCUAACUUGUUUUAUACUCUAUUUUUAUACUUGAUCAUCAGGUUGAAUUUUUGUAGAUAUGACAUCCACUUCAUGUAUCAUGCUUGCUGCAAUUUGAAUUGUAUUUGAAGGUAUUGAAGUAGUCGAUGGUCGAUAUAGAGAAUCAUCUUCUUCCCUAGAAAAUAUAUGCCUAAUUUUUUUAUCAUAAAUGUGAUAAUUCUUUUGAGA
This 234-nucleotide long non-coding RNA is filed under the name Musa acuminata (dwarf banana). RNAcentral describes it as "long non-coding RNA (MACU_LNC001414)". The record is from RNAcentral. Lineage: Eukaryota; Viridiplantae; Streptophyta; Magnoliopsida; Zingiberales; Musaceae.